ACCCGUGUAGCUUAAAUGGUAGAGCACGGCAAUGUGCGCGAAAGGUGCGGGUUCGAAUCCCGCCACGGGGA
RNAcentral lists this transfer RNA (71 nucleotides) under Porphyromonas gingivalis. Its description in RNAcentral is "tRNA-Xxx". It matches the Rfam family "tRNA". From Rfam's summary of the family: Transfer RNA (tRNA) molecules are approximately 80 nucleotides in length. Their secondary structure includes four short double-helical elements and three loops (D, anti-codon, and T loops). Lineage: Bacteria; Pseudomonadati; Bacteroidota; Bacteroidia; Bacteroidales; Porphyromonadaceae. The record is from RNAcentral.